UUCCGUAGGGGUAACCUGCGGAGGGAUCAUUACACAAAUAUGAAGGCGGGCUGGAAUCUCUCGGGGUUACAGCCUUGCUGAAUUAUUCACCCUUGUCUUUUGCGUACUUCUUGUUUCCUUGGUGGGUUCGCCCACCACUAGGACAAACAUAAACCUUUUGUAAUUGCAAUCAGCGUCAGUAACAAAUUAAUAAUUACAACUUUCAACAACGGAUCUCUUGGUUCUGGCAUCGAUGAAGAACGCAGCGAAAUGCGAUAAGUAGUGUGAAUUGCAGAAUUCAGUGAAUCAUCGAAUCUUUGAACGCACAUUGCGCCCUUUGGUAUUCCAAAGGGCAUGCCUGUUCGAGCGUCAUUUGUACCCUCAAGCUUUGCUUGGUGUUGGGCGUCUUGUCUCUAGCUUUGCUGGAGACUCGCCUUAAAGUAAUUGGCAGCCGGCCUACUGGUUUCGGAGCGCAGCACAAGUCGCACUCUCUAUCAGCAAAGGUCUAGCAUCCAUUAAGCCUUUUUUCAACUUUUGACCUCGGAUCAGGUAGGGAUACCCGCUGAACUUAAGCAUAUCAAUAAGCCGGAGGA
Molecule: ribosomal RNA, 572 nt
Filed under: Alternaria sp. BAB-5100
Lineage: Eukaryota; Fungi; Ascomycota; Dothideomycetes; Pleosporales; Pleosporaceae
Description: eukaryotic LSU rRNA
Rfam family: 5.8S ribosomal RNA (bases 198-351)
Source: RNAcentral